RNAcentral lists this ribosomal RNA (390 nucleotides) under Triticum aestivum (bread wheat). Its description in RNAcentral is "partial small subunit ribosomal RNA". Lineage: Eukaryota; Viridiplantae; Streptophyta; Magnoliopsida; Poales; Poaceae. The record is from RNAcentral.
AUGGCUCCAGGGAAGCGAGGCAGCAAGGCCAAGGGGGCCCCGGCGCCGGCGGCCGCGGCCGCGGCGGGCGCCGCCGGCGGGGAGUUCCCGGGUUGCCUCCGCCUGAUGCCGCCGUCCACCGUCGCCAUCUCCGUCCACGCCAAGCCCGGCUCCAAGAUGGCCACCAUCACCGAGAUCGGGGAGGAGGCCGUCGGGGUGCAGAUUGACGCGCCGGCCAGGGACGGGGAGGCCAACGCCGCCCUCGUCGACUUCAUCAGCUCGGUGCUUGGGGUGAAGAAAAGAGAGGUGUCCAUCGGCUCUGGCUCGAAAUCGAGGGAGAAGGUCGUGCUAGUGCAGGACGCGACACUCAAAGGCGUCUUCGAGGCCUUGAAGAAGGCGUGUGGCCCUUGA